Parasteatoda tepidariorum (common house spider) is the source of this 1697-nucleotide non-coding RNA. The record is from RefSeq and is a predicted model, not a curated record. NCBI's taxonomy places the organism in Eukaryota, Metazoa, Arthropoda, Arachnida, Araneae, Theridiidae.
GACAGUCUCAGUUCCAUACAGUACUUAUCGCAUUGGAGGAAGGUUAAAGACAAUACAGGAGCUUCAAUCCUGCACAAAUUUAAAACCCUCUCACGAUUGCGUGAAGUCCUUCUCCAGUGGAUCCUUUCUCACGUUGGGGUUCUCGGCAAUGAUAUCGCCGACACUCUGGCUAAGGAGGGGACAGAAGAAACUUUGAUGUGUUCAGAUUCACUCACCUUCUUGGAACUGGCAUCGAAAAAAAAAGAAGACAAUGUUUCCUGGCUCGUACCCCCCAAAUAUCACUGGUACCAUAGCAUCCAUCCAGGAGGUGAGCUCAACAUUCGGUGCAACCGCAAGGAGCAGACGGCGAUUACCAGCGGCCACCUUAAAAGCCAUAUCACACAUAGCAAAAAUUCGUUCAAUUCAACCUCCAACUCAACCCCAACUUCAACUCCGAAGACAACCCCGUCCGAAAACAUAGGUGUGCUAUACUUAUCCGAGUUGAAACAACUGUUGUUCAACUAUUUCACUUCCCUACAAAAGUGUUGAAGCAACUUCACAAGUCAACCAAUCAGGUGGCAGCAACUGCAUGGGAUUAUGGGAUAGCACAAGUCAAAACAAUAUGGCCGCAAAGUUUACGUUUACGAAGCAGCGAUCCAAUUUGUUAUAUUUUAAUUCAGUCAACAUGAGCCUCCCAGACUCUUUCAAAUGGACAGUUGAAAUGGAGAGCUUAUUCAUUGAACUCAUCAGAAAGAAGGAAAACGUUUGGAACAUAAAGUCCUCAUAUUAUAAGAAUCGAAUCCUGAGAAGAGUCCGUUUUACUGAAAUAUCAACAAAACUCAUCUCGCGGAAUAUCCUCAGUAUGCUUCAGAAUUGACAUGCGAAAAGCUGCAAAAAAAAUUCAGUAAUUUGAAGACGAUCUUUCAAAGAAAUUUGAAGAAAGUGAAAACCCUAACAAGUGGUGCUGGAUAUGAGGGAGCUUGUCCCUGGGUACAUUUCAAUGCCUUGAAAUUCUUAGUGGAUGCGGAGGACUGUGAAGAGAGCUUUUCUAAUUUGGAGGAAAAUGAUUCUCUGAUUUUAAGCCAGAAUGUGGAACAAUCAAAUGAUCCUCUGGAUUCAAUAACCUUUGCAUGCAGUUAUACUCAAGAUAUCGUAGAAGAUCACAAGGAUUAUCUUGAACAAGAAAUAAUGAAUGAAAAUGAUGAACAAUAAAUGGUAGAGGAUAACUAUCCGGGGGCUUCGAAAGAUAAACCUAAACUGAAGCAAAGGAAGAAAAGAAAGGCAGAUAACGCUGAGGAAGAUUUGCUACAAGAAGCAAUGACCUCCUUGCGCCGGAUACCUGCUCCGAAGGAAGCUUCCAUUGAGGAUACAUGUGGGUUAUAUGUGGCCCAAAUUCUAAAACAAAUACCCGACAAAGAGAAAAGAAUUCGGGCUCAAAAAAAAAUUAUUAAAACAGCAUUUAAGUUUUUAAUGGAUUAAUAAAUUUUCAUAUUGUUCUAAAUCUUUUUCGUACCUUUAUAAGUUUUUUUCUUUUUACUCAUCUAGAUUUGUUGUGUAUGAAUUUCAGAAGUGUAUUUUUAAGUGAUAAUUUCAUAAUGGGUGGCCAAGCUCGUUAAUAGUCGAGCCAUUUUUCAAAAUUUGAAAUUUUAGCGAGCCGCAAUUAAAUACAUAUUCAAAAGGUAUGCUAAAAUUAUUAUUACAUUUUUUUUACAGAAAUU